RNAcentral lists this ribosomal RNA (503 nucleotides) under uncultured bacterium. RNAcentral's name for it is "bacterial SSU rRNA". It matches the Rfam family "Bacterial small subunit ribosomal RNA", at positions 28 to 496 of the family's 1533-position model. The record is from RNAcentral.
GACGAACGCUGGCGGCGUGCCUAAUACAUGCAAGUCGAGCGAGCGGAACCAACAGAUUUACUUCGGUAAUGACGUUGGGAAAGCGAGCGGCGGAUGGGUGAGUAACACGUGGGGAACCUGCCCCUAAGUCUGGGAUACCAUUUGGAAACAGGUGCUAAUACCGGAUAAUAAAGCAGAUCGCAUGAUCAGCUUUUGAAAGGCGGCGUAAGCUGUCGCUAAGGGAUGGCCCCCGCGGUGCAUUAGCUAGUUGGUAAGGUAACGGCUUACCAAGGCGACGAUGCAUAGCCGAGUUGAGAGACUGAUCGGCCACAUUGGGACUGAGACACGGCCCAAAACUCCUACGGGAGGCAGCAGUAGGGAAUCUUCCACAAUGGACGGAAGUCUGAUGGAGCAACGCCGCGUGAGUGAAGAAGGUUUUCGGAUCGUAAAGCUCUGUUGUUGGUGAAGAAGGAUAGAGGUAGUAACUGGCCUUUAUUUGACGGUAAUCAACCAGAAAGUCACGG